UACGUAGGGGGCAAGCGUUGUUCGGAUUUAUUGGGCGUAAAGAGCGUGUAGGCGGCCAUACAGGUCAGCUGUGAAAACUCGAGGCUCAACCUCGAGACGUCGGUUGAAACCGUAUGGCUAGAGUCCGGAAGAGGAGAGUGGAAUUCCCGGUGUAGCGGUGAAAUGCGCAGAUAUCGGGAAGAACACCCGUGGCGAAGGCGGCUCUCUGGGACGGUACUGACGCUGAGACGCGAAAGCGUGGGGAGCGAACAGG
RNAcentral lists this ribosomal RNA (253 nucleotides) under uncultured bacterium. RNAcentral describes it as "partial 16S ribosomal RNA". It matches the Rfam family "Bacterial small subunit ribosomal RNA", at positions 524 to 776 of the family's 1533-position model. The record is from RNAcentral.